GAAACCGAUACCAUGAACUCGGAGUUCCAAUCCACUACCAAAACUUCGAAUGUCAUAAAACAAAAUGAAGAUUUAAGGGGAAAAAAGAACACUAAACCUUCUAGACAUGGGGACUAUCUCAACUUACGCACAGACUCAAUAGAGACCCAAAAAUUUCCACCAGAAAGUUCCAACAACUACCCAGAUCGAAGCGUUAAUCAAGGCCAUUAUAAAACCCAUCUUGAAUACAUCAGGAAGCUCCACAUAACCAGCUCCAUAGUAAACAGCAGCCUGACCACUGCUGUAAUGUGUUAUUGCACCAAAGAGGUUUGUAUUAUAUGCCAAGGCUAGUGCUGACAAUACCCCAGGAACACCAGCUGCCAAGUGCAUAGCAAGAAAUGCCGAGUACAAGGCUCCUACAUGCCCAGUCUGACUUGCAAAUAGAUAGUGAAUGAGGAAGUAGGAAGCUUGGAGAACACCAAAUGCUGCUGGCCAGCUCAAUGAGAAAGACUGCAAGGAUGUGGCUACACAAUUUGACAUCCAUGUCACAACUCCAAGGUUAGUGAGUUGUCCAGCCAUGCCAACAAGAACUGCAAACCAAGCCAAUGUAUCCCAAGCAGACUUCUCACUUAAGCAAUCAUCCCAGUUUAAGACACCAAAGAGCAGUAGAAUUGAUAGGCCAAGCAUUGCUGCCACCACACUUGCAAUACCAAAAGCCUCCCCGCCGACCCACAACGAAACUGCAAGAAGCAUGGUACCAAUCAUCACCCAUUCAUUCCUUGUCACGGGUCCCAUCUGUUCAAGUUUCUUGGUGGCCAAACCAGGGGCAUCUGGUGUGUCCUUAGUUUCCGGGGGAAAGAUCUUAUACAAAAUAUAUGGAGUAGCUAAAAGAGCAACAAAGGCAGGUAGACUUGCAACCUUGAACCAUGCUACCCAUGGACCUGCAAUAUUAACCCCAAGUUCCUCAGCUAAUU
This 953-nucleotide unclassified non-coding RNA is filed under the name Hevea brasiliensis (rubber tree). Lineage: Eukaryota; Viridiplantae; Streptophyta; Magnoliopsida; Malpighiales; Euphorbiaceae. The record is from RNAcentral.